UAACCGUAGGUUCCAAGUUUUUAGACUUUCGGCUCCUCCUCAAAUAUCCUUCGCCUUUAAACCCCACCUGCCAGUGGGCACCUAAUGCCUUGUCCAAAUAUAAAAACAAAAUAAAAUCCCAAAACUGACAGCCUCACUGGUGGCGUAAUCCUAGCUGUCAAAACUGAGCCAAGUUGUUAUUAUAAUAACACACGUUACUGGGCCGUGUCGUUUAUUUGCAGCGGUUUGAGCUACCAGUCUAUAAAAAAUAGUCUCUAUAGAAAUUGUCGGCCUAAUUAGAUCCCUGCGAGGAAGGGUUGCCAACUAUUACAAACCGAGUUGUCAAACUUCGUAAAAGUUAUCAAACUUCGGAUAUUCUCUGCGAUUUAGCCUUAAACGUUAAUCAUCAAGGAAUUAUCAAUUUCAUUCCGUCCGUGACUAUCCCCGAUAGUUGAAGUGCGCGUCGGGUAGUUAAAAGUAAAGUGUUUGUUUUAAAAGUAUAAGGUGUAUAUAGUUAAUAUGUGGUUUUUUCUUUAUAGAUCUUAAAGCUAGUUAAAACUUAAAACUAGUUAAAACUUAGAAGGCUAAUAGUACGGUUUUGUGAAUUAGUACGAUUUGUAGUACGGUUACUUCAAUAGAACCAUUCAACUAGAGGUUAAUU
Long non-coding RNA from Aedes albopictus (Asian tiger mosquito), 640 nucleotides. RefSeq lists it as uncharacterized. The record is from RefSeq and is a predicted model, not a curated record. Lineage: Eukaryota; Metazoa; Arthropoda; Insecta; Diptera; Culicidae. The transcript is spliced from 2 exons.